ACUUAUUAUUUUCAUUCCCAGCCAGGUGGGCUGAGCUCCCGGACCAGGCCCCAAGAGACGCUUUGCAGAGGCUGCCUGAGCCAGCAGCUGUCCCUGCAAUCCUGCUGGUCGCAGGUGGAGAGCGGGGCCAGGUGGGGAAGGCACCAGGAUCCUGUCUUCUGAGGUCAGGCUGAGGCAUCCUGAGCGUUCAGCCUGAGCGGAGACUCCUCCUGCCAAGAGAUGGCCAUCUCCAGAUGUCUGCAGGCCGGAGGGAGCCAGCUAGCCUGUGGUGCCUGAGGGCAAAGACAGGACUAAUGGAAGGAAAUUACAUGGAGAGAUUUCAUCUGAGCUUGAGGAAGCACUGUCUACCAGUCAGAGCAGGCCAACCAUGGCCCAUUGCCGACAGAGGCGGUGAGCUCCCUGUCCCCAGAGGUGUGCGAGCAGAGGCUGAGGGGAUUUUUACCCUCGUGACUCCUCUCAGGCUUUGGGCAGUCCCUUGUACUUCCUGUCUGCUCUGCCCCUCACUCGGCCCAGUUGAUCCUACUACAAGCAUCUGACCGAUUGAUUGCAGGCUCAGAGAUGAUGAAUACGAGGAUGGUGAUGAUGAUGAUGAUGGUUUGGUCCAUGAUGCUUCCCAGCGUGGUGGGUCGGGUGCAGGCUGGAGUGUGGCGAGGCCAGACCAUGUACACAGAUCCUUCUCCAUGAGUGGUAAACUCCGUGACGGCAGAGGCUGCAUCUGGCACAUAGGAGGUUUCCCUGGAAAGAAGCCUUCGGAGGUGGUUGUCUCCACAGCACAUGUGACAGCUACCAAAUAUCAAACCUCCAUACACACACAGCUCCCUUCACGUGCUUGAAGAUCCCUCCAUCAGUGC
Choloepus didactylus (southern two-toed sloth) is the source of this 851-nucleotide long non-coding RNA. RefSeq lists it as uncharacterized. The record is from RefSeq and is a predicted model, not a curated record. The transcript has 3 exons. Lineage: Eukaryota; Metazoa; Chordata; Mammalia; Pilosa; Megalonychidae.